GGGUUUUGUUUUUCAUCCCAUUUCUACCAAGUACUGAUUUCUAAAACAUUAUUUUCUAUUUUGUUUUCCAUUUUACAAAAGGCUUGUUUAUGGUACCUAUACCAUUUCUUGUCUUCCUCUUGCUUAUUUUACAUUUGAGAAAAACUCUACUUCACUUGAGAAAGUAAGUAGAACAUUUUGACCUCCUAUGUUCCAACUAGUUUCUCUCAACAUUUUCAAAUUCCAUUCCACUUGAGUUCAUUCCCAAUUGAGGUGUUUCAAAUCCCUUUCAAAUAAAUUCUUUUUUUUCAAAUGACAAUCCUUGCACAUCUUAUGCACAUCACUGAUUUACCACAUUGUAUCCCCUCAUCCUCCAAUUCUUGAUCAAAUGGAUGAUCAUUUGAUACUUUCAAAUGGACUCCCUUCAACUGAACCCUAGACUCAGGGAGUAUUUCAAACCACUCCAAAUUGACCUCUUUUUUUUUAGAACAACUUAUUUUUCCUCAUACCUAUCUCACUCCCCCAUUCUUUUCCAUCAACACCUUGACCUCUUGAAUUGAUUUUAUGCCACCAUAUUCACCAUUGGUGUUGUACCUGUACUUCCAUCACUACCCCUCUAAACCUUGGAUCUAUCUCUUUCCAUCAUUUGUUUGCCACAAACAAAGUGAUAACAAAUUUUCCUUUUAAUGCAUAUCACUCUCACUCUCCAUUUCUAUCUCUAUGUCUCAACCUCCAUCAACAUUACCUCCUCAACAUCAUGCACAUGGAUGAUGUGCAUCUCUCUCUCAUUGUUCAUUUUUGUUUGGCAAGAAUGGAGCCGGCCAAUUUGUGUUUGCAUUCAAAAUUCGGCCAGCACUAUCUCCCCUUUUUCUUCUUAUACAAGCCAUGCCUCCCACCUACCCCAAUCCAUAAAUGGGCAGCCUCCCAACCAACUCAAUCAAUGAGGAGGCUACCUCCCAACCAACUCAAUCAAUGAGGAGGCAGCCAACCCACCCCCUCUCCCUCUAUAUAAAGGGGCUUGGCAGCCCACUCCCUCCUCACUUGCUCUCAUUUCCCACUCUCCACUCCUCUCCACUCCUCUCCUUUGCCUCAUUUCUUUUCACUCCCUACUAUUUCCUCCACUCCCUCACACUCUCCUCCUCCACUUCCCCACGAAAAUGGUGCUCCCCUUGCUCCCAUGGCCGGCCAUAGCCAUGGCAAGCCACCAAGAUGAAGCUCUCCCCCCUCCCUCAAGCUCAUCCUCACCAUGAGAGCCUCCCUCUCCUUCUUCUCCCUAACCUUAGAUGGUUUAAUCUCCUCUUCUUCUCCCUCCAUUGCUAAGAUUGGAUCUUGAUGCAGGUGCAUGUUGGUCCAAGCAUGGAGAAGGUUGAGCUAUCCUCAGAUCUGAAGUUCUUGAGCAAAAUCCAAAUCGAGUGGUUCAAAGUUCUGCAGAUAGGGGAUGUUUGGUUUAUACUAUGGUGAUAACCGAGAGAGGAAAUUGCUAAGUUAUGAUACUCUCAUACCUUUACUAGACGCGAGCAAUUCCGGAGAAGAAGAAGAAGUGGAAUUGGACAAGGAUUUUAUUUAUAUUGUUGGGAUUCUUAUAUUGAUGGAGUUGAAGGAGUACAGGGACAAAUAAGCCAAG
Lolium perenne is the source of this 1603-nucleotide non-coding RNA. The record is from RefSeq and is a predicted model, not a curated record. Lineage: Eukaryota; Viridiplantae; Streptophyta; Magnoliopsida; Poales; Poaceae.